Molecule: ribosomal RNA, 321 nt
Filed under: Clostridioides difficile
Lineage: Bacteria; Bacillati; Bacillota; Clostridia; Peptostreptococcales; Peptostreptococcaceae
Description: bacterial LSU rRNA
Rfam family: Bacterial large subunit ribosomal RNA
Source: RNAcentral
CAGCCAUGAAUCUGGUCUUGGGACACUGUCAGGUGGGCAGUUUGACUGGGGCGGUCGCCUCCCAAAAGGUAACGGAGGCGCUCAAAGGUUCUCACAGUACGGUCGGAAAUCGUACGUAGAGUGUAAAGGCAAAAGAGAGCUUGAUUGCAAGACAUACAGGUCGAGCAAGGAUGAAAAUAGGACGUAGUGAACCGGUGGUUCUGCGUGGAAGGGACAUCGCUCAACGGAUAACAGCUAACCUGGGGAUAACAGGCUUAUCCCCCCCAAGAGUCCACAUCGACGGGGAGGUGUGGCACCUCGAUGUCGGCUCCUCACAUCCUG